RNAcentral lists this unclassified non-coding RNA (352 nucleotides) under soil metagenome. Its description in RNAcentral is "partial contains 5.8S ribosomal RNA, internal transcribed spacer 2, and large subunit ribosomal RNA". The stretch from base 1 to 120 matches the Rfam family "5.8S ribosomal RNA", at positions 35 to 154 of the family's 154-position model. The record is from RNAcentral.
GAUGAAGAACGUAGCGAAAUGCGAUAAGUAAUGUGAAUUGCAGAAUUCAGUGAAUCAUCGAAUCUUUGAACGCACAUUGCGCCCGCCAGUAUUCUGGCGGGCAUGCCUGUUCGAGCGUCAUUACAACCCUCAGGCCCCCGGGCCUGGCGUUGGGGAUCGGCAGAAGCCCCCUGUGGGCACACGCCGUCCCUCAAAUACAGUGGCGGUCCCGCCGCAGCUUCCAUUGCGUAGUAGCUAACACCUCGCAACUGGAGAGCGGCGCGGCCAUGCCGUAAAACACCCAACUUCUGAAUGUUGACCUCGAAUCAGGUAGGAAUACCCGCUGAACUUAAGCAUAUUAAUAAGCGGAGGA